GGACCCGCACAAGUAGUGGAGCAUGUGGUUUAAUUCGAAGAUACGCGCAGAACCUUACCAACACUUGACAUGUUCGUCGCGACUCUAAGAGAUUAGAGUUUUCGGUUCGGCCGGACGAAACACAGGUGCUGCAUGGCUGUCGUCAGCUCGUGUCGUGAGAUGUUGGGUUAAGUCCCGCAACGAGCGCAACCCUCACUUUUAGUUGCCAUCAUUUAGUUGGGCACUCUGAAAGAACUGCCAGUGAUAAGCUGGAGGAAGGUGGGGAUGACGUCAAGUCCUCAUGGCCCUUACGUGUUGGGCUACACACGUGCUACAAUGGUAUCUCAACAGGAAGCAAGACUGCGAAGUU
Molecule: ribosomal RNA, 349 nt
Filed under: uncultured bacterium
Lineage: Bacteria
Description: bacterial SSU rRNA
Rfam family: Bacterial small subunit ribosomal RNA
Source: RNAcentral